AAAAAAAAAAAAAAAAUUAUAGAGCAAAUAACUGAGGAAGAAGUAGGGAUUGUUGACAUUACUGGCUCUCUACAGCUAAAUGCUUUCUUGUUUACCUGCCUGGUGUACUGAAAAGAUCUGAGCACUAAUCCCUGUUCUGGUAUUUAAUAAUAAUGCAACCUUGGGCAGUUUCUUAAUACUUAUGUCUAAAGUGUGGUUGGUAAUACCUACCUGACUGGGUUGAUGAAGAUUAAAUGAGCCGGGUGUGGUGGCUUACGCCUGUAAUCCCAGCACUUUGGGAGUCCAAGGCGGGUGAAUCGCCUGAGCUCAGGAGUUUGUUUGUUUUUUUGUUUUUUUGUUAUUGAGACGGAG
Molecule: long non-coding RNA, 351 nt
Filed under: Homo sapiens (human)
Lineage: Eukaryota; Metazoa; Chordata; Mammalia; Primates; Hominidae
Description: non-protein coding lnc-DUSP14-1:1
Source: RNAcentral